Molecule: ribosomal RNA, 275 nt
Filed under: uncultured Alistipes sp.
Lineage: Bacteria; Pseudomonadati; Bacteroidota; Bacteroidia; Bacteroidales; Rikenellaceae
Description: partial 16S ribosomal RNA
Rfam family: Bacterial small subunit ribosomal RNA
Source: RNAcentral
CAGCAUAAUGGAUAGCAAUAUCUAUGGUGGCGACCGGCGCACGGGUGCGUAACGCGUAUGCAACCUACCUUUAACAGGGGGAUAACACUGAGAAAUUGGUACUAAUACCCCAUAACAUCAGGACCGGCAUCGGUUCUGGUUGAAAACUCCGGUGGUUAUGGAUGGGCAUGCGUUGUAUUAGCUGGUUGGUGAGGUAACGGCUCACCAAGGCAACGAUACAUAGGGGGACUGAGAGGUUAACCCCCACACUGGUACUGAGACACGGACCAGACUCC